GCCUUCGUGGUGCAGUGGUGAACACGCUCGAUGCUUAGCCGAGAUGUCAGUGGUUCGAUUCCCGGCGAAGGCG
This 73-nucleotide transfer RNA is filed under the name Stegodyphus mimosarum. It matches the Rfam family "tRNA". From Rfam's summary of the family: Transfer RNA (tRNA) molecules are approximately 80 nucleotides in length. Lineage: Eukaryota; Metazoa; Arthropoda; Arachnida; Araneae; Eresidae. The record is from Rfam by way of RNAcentral.